Long non-coding RNA from Chelonia mydas (Green sea turtle), 1478 nucleotides. RefSeq lists it as uncharacterized. The transcript has 4 exons. Lineage: Eukaryota; Metazoa; Chordata; Testudines; Cheloniidae. The record is from RefSeq and is a predicted model, not a curated record.
AAGCCUCGCAACAGCCUCAGCCACUAACAACAGCACGCUUGGGGGGGGAUAUCGUAAAUUGUUUUGCCGUAAGUGAAGGAAGUGGCGCUGCGGCGACCACCCAACUGCGCCUGCGCGAAGGGAAGGCCCCCCCCCCCGCCAGGAUGGAUGCAGCAUGACAGAAUGGCCGGAUCCCUCAGAUGGAGACCAGGACCUUGAGGUGGAACCAGAUGAACGUCUUCUUGGCUUGUCUGGACCCUAGUAUGGAGAAAGAACUAAAGGGAGCCUCUCUUCAUGCUAUUAUGACGUUUUAUAUGAGGAACAGCUCAGCAAGAAGGGGACGUGUACGGGCCCAGGAGACAGAAUGUGCCGGUUGGGAGGGAGGUGUCCAGAAGAGAGAAAGGGAGACGACUGAUAGGCAUCAGUGGGGUGAAGGAAGUUAAGGACUUUUCUUUCAAAAAAUACAACAGGAAACUAACUGCAAAUAAUAGGUUAAUGCAAAAUUAAAUUUACUUGUUUUUAAAACGAAAACCCCGAGAAAAUACAAAUAUUAAGGUACAUAUUGAUAGCUGUGUUGCACACAUGUAAUGCAGAUGAACCUUGAUUAUCCACGCCUCUUUUUAUCUGAAACAAGGUUGGAUGUCUCAAAGCCUGUUGUUCACACAGAAAAUUUCUUUGGUUAUCUGAACACUUGCUUAUCCAAAUGUAGUCAAUUUCUCCUUUUACACUUAGAUAACCAAGACUACUAAAAAAAAGGAGUACUUUUGGCACCUUAGAGACUAACAAAUUUAUUUGAGCAUAAGCUUUCGUGAGCUACAGCUCACUUCAUCGACUGUAGCUCACGAAAGCUUUUGCUCAAAUAAAUUUCUUAGUCGCUAAGGUGCCACAAGUACUCCUUUUCUUUUUGCGGAUACAGACUAACACAGCUGCUACUCUGAAACAAGACUGUACUUAAUUUCUAAUGACUAGUUAAAUUGUUUAAAUGUAUGCUUUAAUAGACAAUAUAUGCAAUGUGAGCAAAUUCAUGUUAUGGGAGUCUUAACCUUAACAUUUCCAUGUUUAAAUAUAUAACUUUAAUAUUGGAUUGAUGUUAUUUUAUGAAUUCGUUAUAGCUCUUUAAUGUUAAGGUGAGGUUGCAUAAAAUGUAAUUCAUGCUGCAGAAACUGACCCCUCCCUAUUUUACCAUCCUGCUACUACCCAAUAGAUUUUCUAGUGUUCUUCAUUUCAAGAUUUUUCCCCUGUACUGUAUCCCAGAUCUGUCCCAAAUCAGGUUGAGAGGGACUAUGUUAGAAUGUCAUAUGUAGCGGGGCCACUUGUCCUUCAUUUGGUGCCUGUUUCACAUUACAUGUCAAAUUAAUCAAUAAAUAUUGUCUUGUAUGCACCAAAAAUCAUGCAAGGGAUUGCACACUGUAAUAAAAUGUGUUACUUAGAGACGAGUGUGUGUCACAAAUAAAACCUUGGGGAUGUGCCCUUAAAAAUAAACUUUCUCCUGUAAUUUC